Long non-coding RNA from Prunus dulcis (almond), 3464 nucleotides. RefSeq lists it as uncharacterized. The record is from RefSeq and is a predicted model, not a curated record. Lineage: Eukaryota; Viridiplantae; Streptophyta; Magnoliopsida; Rosales; Rosaceae. The transcript is spliced from 2 exons.
CUCUUAUCUCUCUCUUUCUCUCUCUGAAAUUUUCGAAUGUAUUUGUUUGUUGCAUAUGAAUUUAUACCGUCAUCUACGCGAUUUCUGCUUUUCAUCAAAAUGUGAAGUUUCAGCUGUACCGUUGUUUGCCUUUCUGCAUUUCAUCAACAUCUAUUAUUAGGGAAUUUUCUUGUUAUUUUUCACUUUUGCAGCCAGAAAAGGAAAGAAAGAAAGAAGCUUUAGGUUUUUGCAUUAUUGUAUAUUUCCAAUUGAAUUGAGGGCGAGGAAGGAUCGUAUGGAGAAGCAAUUAAUAGUAGUGUGUUAGGUGCUCUGUUGGUGUACACAAGCUUGUAAUGAGUGCUUACAUUUGGUCCUAAUGCUAUGUCCUCUGCCACAUCAAUUGGUGUCUAAAACUCAGAAAACCUUUUGUUGUCUUUAGUGUCAUUGUGAAGGACCAAAUACACUGAGUGUGGUUUAUUAUAUCAUACAUAUAGGUUUUAUAAAAGAAGCAAAUAGCAGGUACCAGCCAAUCGUAGGGAUAACAUUAUGGCUAAUACCUUGUUUUAAUAAUGAAAAUUCUCAUUUCAAGUGAAGAAUGAGGGAAAUUGACAUUUUGAGGACCUGUGUAAAGUAAAAGUCGUUAUGAUAUGGGAGAUUUAGAGUUGGGAUUGAUAACGGUUAGGAAAUAAAGUUAUAAACCUCCAGACUCGGCAUAAACAUUAUGGGAACAUCAGCCUCUGGAUCACAUUUUCCCGAACUUGUUUAUAUGGGUUUCUUAUAAAUUUGGAAGUGGGGGCUGUUGUAGUCAUUCUAGCGGAAGAGCUUUUUCAGCAACUAUGUUCAGAAAUAAUACUUAUGUCUUGAAAAAUAUCUUCUCUAUGUUUGUCUUCUGUAAAUUUACACUACUUUUGCGCUUCGCUGGACCAAGUAAUAACAAAAUCAGCAAGAAUUUUUUCAAUGCUAAGUGAUGAGGGGUGUGUAACCAGACAAGAUACUUAUAAUUUAAGUGUGUCUACCUGCAUCAGAUUGGUAAUUAUUUAUGUUAUAUAGCCCAAGUAUGUGAUUGGGAAAUAGAAGCAGAGCUCUUAAUUUAUACCUCAAGUCAAUAAAUGUGAAAAUUUCUCAGCCUAUAUAUUUCUUGAAUAAAGAAGUGUAAUAAGUGUGAAUUUAUUUUUUUUCUUUUGUGGACAAAAGUGUGAAUUGAUGAGUGUGCUGUUGUUGUUUGGAAGAGUUGAGAAAAGAAUAGGAUAAAGCUUAUAUAAGGGAAACCACAGUUCUAAUCUUUCUUGGACAUUGGAUACGCUGACCUGUGAGUUGAAUAGGGGCCAGAGGCCCAACAACAAAAGAACUAACUCACAGUACUUCUGGGCCUUGGGACUCUAACCUGGUCUUCUCUUAGUAAGUGACCAAUAAUAGAGGGAGUGGGAGUGAGAACAUUCAAGAUAGUGCAGCCCAAUUCUAGCUCCAAUCCAUAGUUAGCAGUCCAUCAGCAGCUGCAUUUUUCUACCUGUAAAUGCAAGCCACUCCAGUUUAUAUUAACCGGGUACUAAAUGUAUUCAGCAAUUACAAACAAGCACAGUAAAGGUCAGGAGGGUUUGUUUGUUGCUGGAACAGGGAAUAAUUAGAAUCAUAUUAUAUCAAUUUCUAUUAGUUGUUAGGUGCAGCUUACAAGAUCUCACUGGUAUUUUGAUGGUUCUAACUUCUACUUAUGUGGUUGAUUCCGUAUUCUUUUUAUUAACAAUUUUUGGCUUUAGAAAGAUGAUGGUGGAGGAUGGUUUGGAUGCUCAAUAUAGUAAUAUCACGUCUCUAUGGGAAAUGGAAAUCAUCUAGUUUUUCUAUUCAACUGCAAAUAAUGUUACUAUAUAAUUCUUUUUUACUACAUAAUUACUGUCCCAACUCUACUCUUUCAAAGAAAAUUCUUUUUCAUCUUUAACUCGAAAGUCCUGAGUCAUCUACUCAAGUUUACUGUGCGUGGCUAUCAACUUUCGUUAUCUGUUAUGUUGUUAUCAUUUAAACAUGUCGACAUAGUUCACUAUUUCUGCGUCACUGUUUCUGUGAGUCCGCUGAGAGAGAGAGAGAGAGAGAGAGAGAGAUGUCCACAAAUAGUUGAUCAUCAACUACCGAAAGUAGACCAUAUUUCUAGUUCACAGCAUAAGAUCACUAGAGAAAUAGACUUUUCCCCAUCCAUAAGCCGAAAGAAAGAGUGACAAAGAAGGGUUUCACUUCUCCUAAGCAAGUUUCUAAUGUGGACAUGUAAACCCUUAUACGAAUUUCAUAUCACUUUGACUUAUUUAAGUAGAAAAACCGGGAUAGUUGAUAACUGAUAUAUUACAUUGUUGAGUGUGUCAUAUCUCUAUGGUCAUGACAUUUGAAUAUUUUUCCUUCACUGGACUUGCACUGAGUUUUUCAUUACAUUUACCAUAUACAUAAACUUGUUUUCAGUAGUAUUUGUGCCCCAGACUCUACUGAUUGCUGAUGAUGUUUACAAAAGUUACAUUAUUGUUGUUGCUAGCGACAUGGAUGAAGACUGAUGAUUUUGUGGUCCGAGAAAUUGGUAAGGUCUCAUAGGUUCACUCGUCUGGAUAAGCAGAAAAAGAACGUGCACACUUGCACAGCACACAAUCAAGUUGAGGCUGUUCUUGCACCAAUUCAGCCACGAUGACUCAUGACAGUAAUUUCACUUUUUAAUUCAAUAUAUAAUUGUGUUUUUUACAGGGAAAGUGUGCAUGAAAACAAGGUUGGUUUAUACUUAAUUAAAUACUAGUGUGAUAGAGAAAGUGAAAGCAUGUUUGAUUAAGGAAGGGAUGUGGAUGGCUUUGGCAGUGGGGAAAAUAAAAAUAAAAAUAAGAGAUGAUAGUUGGGCAAGUAGGGCUUGAUUGGUUUCCAGCAAGAAGAAGAAAAAGAAAGGUAGGGUUGAUUGGUGGUGGUCACCCACCCGCCUAUGUUUUAGCCCAUACAUGAUUGAAGGGAAGCUAAAAAUUUUGCCAAAAGCUGGUUCAUGUCUCACGAGAGCAUCUCUGUUGUCUAAGCCAAAAUCCCUCACUCCUAGGAGAGGCUUCUUCAUGACAAAAGCACUUUUCCCCACUUAUACUGAAAAGUAGUUUGAUCAUUAUACUUUCCAAUCUUGCUUCCAUGGGCUGUGUUGUUUUUAGGGCUUCAAAAUUGAAAGCCCCUAGGUUUUGUUUAAGUGCUUUUUACAACUUUUUAUCUCUCUUUGUGGCAGUAGGUACAAGAAUGAAAUCAAUAUUGUGUUUGACGAGUGCUUAGCACGUGCAUCAUGAAUUAUAAUGAUGAGUUGAAGAUGAACAUGAUGAUGACUGUGUUUCGAAUGGGGAUGUGAUCAAACCUAGAUGUGCCAAUGUAUCUUUCAUCUGUCGUUUUAUUUUAAUGUAUCAGUAAUAAUAGCUAGAAGAGAAUUUUAAGAUAUGUACAUGUAUUUGCGACAUGGGAAGGAAUGAAUCAAAAUAAUUCCAAUCGUUUUUGAA